RNAcentral lists this transfer-messenger RNA (367 nucleotides) under bovine gut metagenome. It matches the Rfam family "transfer-messenger RNA". Rfam says of the family: Bacterial tmRNA, also known as 10Sa RNA or SsrA, is named for its dual tRNA and mRNA-like properties. The record is from RNAcentral.
GGGGGCGACUGGUUUCGACAUGAUAGCUAUGAGGGAGGAAGCAGGUCGUGGUCUCCUCGCCACGUUAAACAGGGGUACCGUCAAAUUUAAUUGACAAGACUCAGACUCAGGGCGCUUAUGCCCUCGCUGCCUAAUCUGAAUAGGUAGCCGUCAAUCCGCGGCGCUCUCCCGACUGCGGUGCGACGUCACUUAGGGAGAUGCCCCCGGGCACGUAGUCCGUAUGGUUCGGGGAAAGAUCGAACGGGCUAGAGAGCGCAAGGAUUGUCUGCGCGCCGCUGCGCAAUCGAAACUGGAGCACAGACUGAGCCUGGAGAUGCCUCCCAGGUGGCUACCAUGGACCGGAGUUCGAUUCUCCGCGCCUCCACCA